Molecule: ribosomal RNA, 1202 nt
Filed under: marine metagenome
Description: bacterial LSU rRNA
Rfam family: Bacterial large subunit ribosomal RNA
Source: RNAcentral
CACCCUUUAAAGAAAGCGUAAUAGCUCACUAGUCGAGUCGGCCCGCGCGGAAGAUUUAACGGGGCUAAAUUGGUAACCGAAGCUUUGGGUUCAUACUUUGUAUGAGCGGUAGCGGAGCGUUCUGUAAGCCGUUGAAGGUGGAUCGAGAGGUCUGCUGGAGGUAUCAGAAGUGCGAAUGCUGACAUGAGUAACGAUAAUGGGGGUGAAAAACCCCCACGCCGGAAGACCAAGGUUUCCUGCCCCAUGCUAAUCAGGGCAGGGUGAGUCGACCCCUAAGGCGAGGGCGAAAGCCGUAGUCGAUGGGAAACAGGUUAAUAUUCCUGUACUAGAUUGUAGUGCGAUGGAGAGACGGAGAAGGCUAGGCUAGCGCAGCGUUGGUUGUCUGCGUUCAAGCUGGUAGGCUGGGGGAUUAGGUAAAUCCGGUCCCCUAAGGCCGAGAAGCGAUAACGAGUUCUUUCGAAAGAUCGAGCGAAGUAGUCGAUGCCAUGCUUCCAAGAAAAUCUUCUAAGCUUCAGCUGCAAUGUAAUCGUACCCCAAACCGACACAGGUGGUCAGGUAGAGAAUACCAAGGCGCUUGAGAGAACUCGGGUGAAGGAACUAGGCAAAAUGGUACCGUAACUUCGGGAGAAGGUACGCCGGUUUUGGUGAUGGGACUUGCUCCCUAAGCUGAGGCGGGCCGAAGUGACCAGGUGGCUGCGACUGUUUAUUAAAAACAUAGCACUCUGCAAACACGUAAGUGGACGUAUAGGGUGUGACGCCUGCCCGGUGCCGGAAGGUUAAUUGAUGGGGUUAGCUUCGGCGAAGCUCUUGAUCGAAGCCCCGGUAAACGGCGGCCGUAACUAUAACGGUCCUAAGGUAGCGAAAUUCCUUGUCGGGUAAGUUCCGACCUGCACGAAUGGCGUAACGACGGCCACACUGUCUCCACCCGAGACUCAGUGAAAUUGAAAUCGCUGUUAAGAUGCAGUGUACACGCGGCUAGACGGAAAGACCCCGUGCACCUUUACUAUAGCUUUGCACUGAACUUUGAACCUAUCUGUGUAGGAUAGGUGGGAGGCUUUGAAGCGACCACGCUAGUGGUUGUGGAGCCAACCUUGAAAUACCACCCUGGUAUGUUUGGAGUUCUAACCUCGGCCCAUUAUCUGGGCUAGGGACAGUGUAUGGUGGGUAGUUUGACUGGGGCGGUCUCCUCCCAAAGAGUAACG